UUUGGGUAGAACUCCGUUUACCAAUGAAAUGCUCUACUAAAACAGAUAUAUAUCCCUCCUCUUUGAAAUAUGCAUGAUUCAGUACCCAAACUGAGUAAAUGCCUCUUGCGUUUAAAACACAGCUCUAGUUUAAGGCAGAUCUAGCCUAAUUUGUACAUCUAGGUGUGACAGAAAAGUCACUUUAUUUCCUCCUGGAUGAAUAAAACAUAAUUCCACAGCUCGUGAAAUCCAGUGAAGUUCUUUCACCCCACAUGCACAAGUGGCAAAAUGCCCUUUGGGGGGCAUAUCACCCCUCUGCUGCUUCUCAUCUGUCCUUUUGCUCCCUUUGCCCAUGUCAGCAGCAACGUAUUUGGCACAGCAGGAACACACACCACGAGGAGCCCAGCAGCGACAUCUCCUCCUGUUUCCUUAGCUCUCCAUGGUGCCCAUGACAUCAUCAGGGAAGGCUGCUGCAUGCAAUUUACACUCUAUGGAAACACAACACAGCCCCAGGACUUCCACCCUUUCCCAUACAUUGCUGCAGUUGCUACAAGUGAACUCAUUGUGUAACUUGGAAAAAGUUACCUCAAUGCCAGAGAAACAUAUUCCUGAGCAAUGUGGAAAACUUCUAAUUUUAAAGCAGUCAACCUCACCCUUCUGUGUUGGAAAAAUACCUGUAAAUGAAAUCUAAUUUGGAGGCAGAAUUGUAUAACAGGGAAAAUGUAAUGAAGUAUUAUCUUAGCAAAGUAGGUUAGGUGAACUUUGAAAAAGGCGGUGUGUCAGUAUUCAUAGGUGUGUGGUCUGGGAUUUCACACCUUUUCUUCAGGUUUCUGUAAAAUAUGGCUGACUACAAACCAGGUUAAGUAAAAAUUGAGUUUGAACGCAUAAAUGAAAAGUAAGAAUACUUAGAAAGAGAAGCUGUGGGGGGGUUUUUAACAGAACUGUUCUGAGGCACAUAGAAGAAAUUCUGGAAUGAGAGUUUCAGGUACCAAACAACCUUGUCUGUUUACAUUAUUUAUGUCAAUCAACCCCUUCUUGCUGCCUUUUCAUUUCUACAUCAUACAAAAUUAUAUCAAUGAAAUACUCCACACCUCAGCCAUUUUCAUACCUGUUUCUUGUUUAAUGACAAACUUGGUUUAUAGAUCAGUCUAAGAACUGAGAGUUUAAUUCUGUUUAAAUAAUCUUCCUCUAGAUUCUUCUUCUUUUAAUUGCCUCUAAAAAAAUAAUCAGCUAUUAAAAUAGCUUCUUUUUAAAUCUCUCCUAGCACAAUAACAAUAAUGAUAGCAUCUCACAU
Molecule: long non-coding RNA, 1273 nt
Filed under: Strigops habroptila (Kakapo)
Lineage: Eukaryota; Metazoa; Chordata; Aves; Psittaciformes; Psittacidae
Description: lncRNA (ENSSHBG00005014883.1)
Source: RNAcentral